Non-coding RNA from Phrynosoma platyrhinos (Desert horned lizard), 72 nucleotides. Lineage: Eukaryota; Metazoa; Chordata; Lepidosauria; Squamata; Phrynosomatidae. The record is from the annotation of a GenBank genome assembly.
GCCAGCAUGACAUAGUGGUUUGAGAGUUGGACUAAAAUUCUGGAGAUCAGGGUUCAAUUCCCAGCUCAGCCA